Molecule: non-coding RNA, 462 nt
Organism: Cricetulus griseus (Chinese hamster)
Lineage: Eukaryota; Metazoa; Chordata; Mammalia; Rodentia; Cricetidae
Source: RefSeq, a predicted model, not a curated record
GGAUUAAAGGCGUGCGCCAUCAAUGCCCGGCUAGAGCAUAGCUUCUUAUACAUGUAACUAACUACUGAGUUUAUUUCUUACCUUAAGUAUUCUUAAUUAGCAGUUUAAUCUGCCUUAUACAACCUGUAAAAACUUAAUUUAUAAAAUUAUGGCUAAGUGUUCAUUUUCUUCAAGGAAAACAUUUUUAUAUGUACAUUCUCAACCUUUUUCUUCCCAUGCUUGUUUCUUAAGUGGUUUCAUAAAUUACCGAGAUAGCAAAUUAACUCGAAUUCUUCAGAAUUCCUUGGGAGGAAAUGCAAAAACUCGUAUCAUCUGCACAAUUACUCCAGUGUCAUUCGAUGAGACCCUAACCACUCUCCAGUUUGCCAGCGCUGCUAAAUAUAUGAAGAAUACCCCUUAUGUUAACGAGGUGUCAAAUGAUGAGGCCCUCUUGAAAAGGUACAGAAGAGAAAUAGUGGACCU